CCUACGGGAGGCAGCAGUCGGGAAUAUUGGACAAUGGGCGCAAGCCUGAUCCAGCUACGCCAAGUGAGUGAUGAAGGCCUCCGGGUUGUAAAACUCUGUCGUAAGGGAAGAUAAUGACGGUACCUUACAAGAAAGCACCGGCUAACUCCGUGCCAGCAGCCGCGGUAAUACGGAGGGUGCAAGCGUUACUCGGAAUUACUGGGCGUAAAGGGAGCGCAGGCGGUCUAUUAAGUCAGGUGUGAAAGCCCGGGGCUCAACCCCGGAACUGCACCUGAAACUGGUAGACUUGAGGAUGAGAGAGGAAAGUAGAAUUUCUGGUGUAGAGGUGAAAUUCGUUGAUAUCAGAAGGAAUACCCGUGGCGAAGGCGGCUUUCUGGCUCAUUUCUGACGCUGAGGCUCGAAAGUGUGGGUAGCAAACAGGAUUAGAUACCCUAGUAGUC
RNAcentral lists this ribosomal RNA (440 nucleotides) under uncultured bacterium. RNAcentral's name for it is "bacterial SSU rRNA". It matches the Rfam family "Bacterial small subunit ribosomal RNA", at positions 338 to 795 of the family's 1533-position model. The record is from RNAcentral.